AUUGAACGCUGGCGGCAGGCCUAACACAUGCAAGUCGAGCGGAUGAAGGGAGCUUGCUCCUGGAUUCAGCGGCGGACGGGUGAGUAAUGCCUAGGAAUCUGCCUGGUAGUGGGGGAUAACGUCCGGAAACGGGCGCUAAUACCGCAUACGUCCUGAGGGAGAAAGUGCGGGAUCUUCGGACCUCACGCUAUCAGAUGAGCCUAGGUCGGAUUAGCUAGUUGGUGGGGUAAAGGCCUACCAAGGCGACGAUCCGUAACUGGUCUGAGAGGAUGAUCAGUCACACUGGAACUGAGACACGGUCCAGACUCCUACGGGAGGCAGCAGUGGGGAAUAUUGGACAAUGGGCGAAAGCCUGAUCCAGCCAUGCCGCGUGUGUGAAGAAGGUCUUCGGAUUGUAAAGCACUUUAAGUUGGGAGGAAGGGCAGUAAGUUAAUACCUUGCUGUUUUGACGUUACCAACAGAAUAAGCACCGGCUAACUUCGUG
Molecule: ribosomal RNA, 484 nt
Filed under: uncultured bacterium
Lineage: Bacteria
Description: partial 16S ribosomal RNA
Rfam family: Bacterial small subunit ribosomal RNA
Source: RNAcentral